GCCUUAUUAGCUCAGUGGUUAGAGCACUGGUCUCGUAAACCAGGGGACCGGAGUUCAAUUCUCUAAUAAGGCU
Molecule: transfer RNA, 73 nt
Filed under: Dendronephthya gigantea
Lineage: Eukaryota; Metazoa; Cnidaria; Anthozoa; Malacalcyonacea; Nephtheidae
Description: tRNA-Thr
Rfam family: tRNA
About the family: Transfer RNA (tRNA) molecules are approximately 80 nucleotides in length. Their secondary structure includes four short double-helical elements and three loops (D, anti-codon, and T loops).
Source: RNAcentral